AUUUCUUGUUUAAUUGUUUAAAUGUUUAAAUCUUUUUGGAAAAAGAUGCCCACCUCUGUCAGAACAUCAAAAGAGGGACGAAAGAUACCAAAGGGACAGUCAAACUCAUAAAUCUAAAACAAACUGACAACGCCAUGGCUAAAAAUGAAAAAGACAAACAAACAACAGCACACACGACACAACAUAGAAAACUAAAGAAUAAACAACACGAA
This 212-nucleotide long non-coding RNA is filed under the name Mytilus galloprovincialis (Mediterranean mussel). Lineage: Eukaryota; Metazoa; Mollusca; Bivalvia; Mytilida; Mytilidae. The record is from RNAcentral.